UCGGCUUUGGCACAGCCCAGAAAUGUCUCCAAACACCGGGCAUUUUGGGGAGGAUAGAGGAAGUGUUUCUCCAUUUCCUCUCAUACGAUGGAGCUUGCUGCCAACGUCCCCCCCUGGGGAGCUGCCAGGUUUGGUGCUGCUGGAGCCCUGCCUUGAAGCAGUGACACGGGGUGAUGCAAUGGGCCGCAGCUCUUGCACCACUGGCACAGGGAAAGCGCCCAUGGUGCCCGCGGUCCUGGGGUGGUGUGGGGCAAGGGAGCAGCUGCACGAGGGCUGCCAGGGCUGUUUGCUUCCUUGGCAGAUCCCUGGUGUUUCCCUGCCUGUUCUCCUGUGAGUGAGAGGAUGGAGCUCCUCCUGCCCCUCGUUCAUCUGUUCGAUCUCACUGCCACUCUCAGAGAUGUAACUUCACACCAGAGCUGCAGAUAACUGCAUCUAUCCGCUGUUGCCCGUUUUUUUUAAUAUCCGGUGGCUUUCCCUGAACUGCUGACGUCAGUGAAUCCCUGCACAGAGCAGCGCUGGAUGCAUUUUGUGAGCGUGAGCAGAGGCGUGCAGCUUCAGGGGCAGCUGGCAGCCCAUCAUGCUGCGGGUGACGGGGAGCAGAUCUUUCCU
This is a long non-coding RNA of Gallus gallus (chicken), 609 nucleotides long. NCBI's taxonomy places the organism in Eukaryota, Metazoa, Chordata, Aves, Galliformes, Phasianidae. The record is from Ensembl.